Molecule: long non-coding RNA, 110 nt
Organism: Ipomoea nil (Japanese morning glory)
Lineage: Eukaryota; Viridiplantae; Streptophyta; Magnoliopsida; Solanales; Convolvulaceae
Exons: 3
Source: RefSeq, a predicted model, not a curated record
AACACAAAGAUAUUGGAAUAUAUUAAACACUAUUCCAAUAUUUCAUUAUAGAAGGAGCUCUAGAUGUUGCUAGCAAUUUCAUCGCAAAUAUCAUGCUUGUUGCGACUAUG